AAGUCGUAACAAGGUUUCCGUAGGUGAACCUGCGGAAGGAUCACUAGUGAUUUAAAUCGGAGAGUGUCUUCAUUGACCUCUUCACCCUUCACAUCCACAUACACCUGUGCACUGUUUGACUUUUUGCUGAAAAGGGUUAAUACCUCUAUUAAGCGAGUCAUCAUUUUUUAUAAACAAAACCUAAGUCUUAUGAAUGUCAAACGUUAUUAUAAACAAAAUAAAACUUUCAACAACGGAUCUCUUGGUUCUC
This 250-nucleotide unclassified non-coding RNA is filed under the name Phaeosphaeriaceae sp. Its description in RNAcentral is "partial contains small subunit ribosomal RNA, internal transcribed spacer 1, and 5.8S ribosomal RNA". The stretch from base 1 to 46 matches the Rfam family "Eukaryotic small subunit ribosomal RNA", at positions 1786 to 1831 of the family's 1831-position model. Lineage: Eukaryota; Fungi; Ascomycota; Dothideomycetes; Pleosporales; Phaeosphaeriaceae. The record is from RNAcentral.